CCUACGGGUGGCAGCAGUGGGGAAUCUUGCGCAAUGGGCGAAAGCCUGACGGAGCAACGCCGCGUGAGGGAAUGAAGGCCUUCGGGGUGUAAAGAUCUGUUGACAGGGACGAAUAAGCAAUGCGAAUAGUUUUGUGUAUGACGGUACCUGUAUAGAAAGCUACGGCUAACUACGUGCCAGCAGCCGCGGUAAUACGUAGGGAGCAAGCGUUGUCCGGAAUUACUGGGCGUAAAGGUCGGGUAGGUGGGCGCUUAAGUCAGGUGUGAAAACUCCGGGCCCAACCGGGGGACUGCACUUGAAACUGGGUGUCUUGAGGGCAGGAGAGGAAAGUGGAAUUCCUAGUGUAGCGGUGAAAUGCGUAGAUAUUAGGAGGAACACCAGUGGCGAAGGCGACUUUCUGGACUGUACCUGACGCUGAGGCGCGAAAGCGUGGGUAGCGAACAGGAUUAGAUACCCUUGUAGUC
RNAcentral lists this ribosomal RNA (464 nucleotides) under uncultured bacterium. RNAcentral's name for it is "partial 16S ribosomal RNA". It matches the Rfam family "Bacterial small subunit ribosomal RNA", at positions 338 to 795 of the family's 1533-position model. The record is from RNAcentral.